UGGGAGGUCGUUCAACGGUAGGACGGCAGACUCUGGAUCUGUCUAUCGGGGUUCGAAUCCCUGCCUCCCAGCCA
RNAcentral lists this transfer RNA (74 nucleotides) under Acidobacteriota bacterium. RNAcentral's name for it is "Acidobacteria bacterium (wastewater metagenome) tRNA-Gln". It matches the Rfam family "tRNA". Rfam says of the family: Transfer RNA (tRNA) molecules are approximately 80 nucleotides in length. Their secondary structure includes four short double-helical elements and three loops (D, anti-codon, and T loops). The record is from RNAcentral. Lineage: Bacteria; Pseudomonadati; Acidobacteriota.